AAAUUGAAGAGUUUGAUCAUGGCUCAGAUUGAACGCUGGCGGCAGGCCUAACACAUGCAAGUCGAACGGUAACAGGAAGCAGCUUACUGCUUUGCUGACGAGUGGCGGACGGGUGAGUAAUGUCUGGGAAACUGCCUGAUGGAGGGGGAUAACUACUGGAAACGGUAGCUAAUACCGCAUAACGUCGCAAGACCAAAGAGGGGGACCUUCGGGCCUCUUGCCAUCGGAUGUGCCCAGAUGGGAUUAGCUAGUAGGUGGGGUAAUGGCUCACCUAGGCGACGAUCCCUAGCUGGUCUGAGAGGAUGACCAGCCACACUGGAACUGAGACACGGUCCAGACUCCUACGGGAGGCAGCAGUGGGGAAUAUUGCACAAUGGGCGCAAGCCUGAUGCAGCCAUGCCGCGUGUAUGAAGAAGGCCUUCGGGUUGUAAAGUACUUUCAGCGGGGAGGAAGGGAGUAAAGUUAAUACCUUUGCUCAUUGACGUUACCCGCAGAAGAAGCACCGGCUAACUCCGUGCCAGCAGCCGCGGUAAUACGGAGGGUGCAAGCGUUAAUCGGAAUUACUGGGCGUAAAGCGCACGCAGGCGGUUUGUUAAGUCAGAUGUGAAAUCCCCGGGCUCAACCUGGGAACUGCAUCUGAUACUGGCAA
RNAcentral lists this ribosomal RNA (649 nucleotides) under Escherichia coli. RNAcentral's name for it is "bacterial SSU rRNA". It matches the Rfam family "Bacterial small subunit ribosomal RNA", at positions 1 to 639 of the family's 1533-position model. Lineage: Bacteria; Pseudomonadati; Pseudomonadota; Gammaproteobacteria; Enterobacterales; Enterobacteriaceae. The record is from RNAcentral.